CUGUGAAGUGAUUUUUUAAAGUUGAUGGAUCAUAAGAUAUGACAAGACUAACAAAGAAGUUGUCGGCCAAUAAGUGGAAAUAGAUUAGUUUGGAUAAAUGCUGGACAUAUUGCUAGUACCUAGUAUAUAAAAAUUUGGAAAGUUAUAAAGAGUUGGGAUUGAUGAAUGUAUCAAGAGUUUCAUUUAUAUAUUCUGGUUUUACGAGACCUGCACAUCCAGACCAGCAGAGUUUCCUGUUGUGGUUGGGUUGGGUGGUUGGAGGGCUGUUCCAGUUGUAAAAUGGCAUCUGCUAUUUACUGAUUAUAGUACAUGUAUAGUUGAAUACUAGAACCAUUUUUCGGGAAUUUCCCUCCCCUAGAAAGAAAAUUCAUGGAUGUAGAAAUAAUUCAUUGAUUUUAUGCUGCUUGACGCUUAUUUAUUUAUUUAUUUGUUUUUGUUGUGGGGUGCAGGAUCUACAAUGUCUCUGUAAUGAAUUAUGAAUUGUCUUAUUUCCAACUUUUUCUUUGUAUACUUUCUCUAGCUAUUAUCUCGCUAAUUGAUAGAGAAUUAAGAGGCAGGUCUCUCAAAUAUUGUGAGUUUAGCUUACAGAAAGAUGUUUGCUGUAAUAUUGCAGUUGACAAUAAUCAGCUCUAUCCAUCUGCUCCUCC
RNAcentral lists this unclassified non-coding RNA (647 nucleotides) under Hevea brasiliensis (rubber tree). The record is from RNAcentral. Lineage: Eukaryota; Viridiplantae; Streptophyta; Magnoliopsida; Malpighiales; Euphorbiaceae.